Molecule: unclassified non-coding RNA, 325 nt
Filed under: Russula sp.
Lineage: Eukaryota; Fungi; Basidiomycota; Agaricomycetes; Russulales; Russulaceae
Also listed under: 1 other name
Description: partial contains 5.8S ribosomal RNA, internal transcribed spacer 2, and large subunit ribosomal RNA
Source: RNAcentral
AACGCACCUUGCGCCCUUUGGCAUUCCGAGGGGCACACCCGUUUGAGUGUCAUGACAUCCUCAAAAACCUUCUUUGGUUUCUUGACCGGGGAAGGCUUUUGGACUUUGGAGGCUAUUGCUGGCCUUCCUUUGUUGGAGCCAGCUCCUCUGAAAUAAAUUAGUGGGGUCUGCUUUGCCGAUCCUUGACGUGAUAAGAUGUUUUCUACGUCUUGGGUUUCGCACUGUUCCUGCUUCUAACUGUCUCAUAGAAGACAAUGGUGAAGUGAUUGCCACUUGACCCACAAACCUUGACCUCAAAUCGGGUGAGACUACCCGCUGAACUUAA